GGAUUAGAUACCCUGGUAGUCCACGCCGUAAACGAUGUGUGCUAGACGUCGGAAGCUUGACUUUCGGUGUCGCAGCUAACGCAAUAAGCACACCGCCUGGGGAGUACGGUCGCAAGAUUAAAACUCAAAGGAAUUGACGGGGGCCCGCACAAGCGGUGGAGCAUGCGGUUUAAUUCGAAGCAACGCGCAGAACCUUACCAACCCUUGACAUACGGAUCGCGGUUUACAGAGAUGUUUACCUUCAGCUCGGCUGGAUCCUGUACAGGUGCUGCAUGGCUGUCGUCAGCUCGUGCCG
Molecule: ribosomal RNA, 295 nt
Filed under: uncultured bacterium
Lineage: Bacteria
Description: partial 16S ribosomal RNA
Rfam family: Bacterial small subunit ribosomal RNA
Source: RNAcentral